RNAcentral lists this ribosomal RNA (399 nucleotides) under uncultured Pseudomonas sp. RNAcentral describes it as "bacterial SSU rRNA". It matches the Rfam family "Bacterial small subunit ribosomal RNA", at positions 983 to 1382 of the family's 1533-position model. Lineage: Bacteria; Pseudomonadati; Pseudomonadota; Gammaproteobacteria; Pseudomonadales; Pseudomonadaceae. The record is from RNAcentral.
GACAUGCAGAGAACUUUCCAGAGAUGGAUUGGUGCCUUCGGGAACUCUGACACAGGUGCUGCAUGGCCGUCGUCAGCUCGUGUCGUGAGAUGUUGGGUUAAGUCCGUAACGAGCGCAACCCUUGUCCUUAGUUACCAGCACGUUAUGGUGGGCACUCUAAGGAGACUGCCGGUGACAAACCGGAGGAAGGUGGGGAUGACGUCAAGUCAUCAUGGCCCUUACGGCCUGGGCUACACACGUGCUACAAUGGUCGGUACAAAGGGUUGCCAAGCCGCGAGGUGGAGCUAAUCCCAUAAAACCGAUCGUAGUCCGGAUCGCAGUCUGCAACUCGACUGCGUGAAGUCGGAAUCGCUAGUAAUCGUGAAUCAGAAUGUCACGGUGAAUACGUUCCCGGGCCUU